UACGUAGGGCGCAAGCGUUGUUCGGAUUCAUUGGGCGUAAAGGGUGCGUAGGCGGCGCGGUAAGUCGGGUGUGAAAUCUUGGAGCUUAACUCCGAAACUGCAUUCGAUACUGCCGUGCUUGAGGACUGGAGAGGAGACUGGAAUUUACGGUGUAGCGGCGAAAUGCGUAGAUAUCGUAAGGAAGACCAGUGGCGAAGGCGGGUCUCUGGACAGUUCCUGACGCUGAGGCACGAAGGCCAGGGGAGCAAACGGG
RNAcentral lists this ribosomal RNA (253 nucleotides) under uncultured bacterium. RNAcentral describes it as "partial 16S ribosomal RNA". It matches the Rfam family "Bacterial small subunit ribosomal RNA", at positions 524 to 776 of the family's 1533-position model. The record is from RNAcentral.